GCUCAGUAACACGUGGAUAACCUGCCCUAGGGAAGGGGAUAACCCCGGGAAACUGGGGAUAAUACCCUAUAGGUUACAGAUGCUGGAAUGCUCUGUAACCCAAAGUUCCGGCGCCCUAGGAUGGAUCUGCGGCCGAUUAGGUUGUUGUUGGGGUAAUGGCCCAACAAGCCAGUAAUCGGUACGGGUUGUGGGAGCAAGAGCCCGGAGUUGGAUUCUGAGACACGAAUCCAGGCCCUACGGGGCGCAGCAGGCGCGAAAACUUUACAAUGCGGGCAACCGUGAUAAGGGAACCUCGAGUGCCUGUAAAUGCAGGCUGUUUAGGUGUUUAAAACGCGMCUGGAGAAAGGGCCGGGCAAGACCGGUGCCAGCCGCCGCGGUAAUACCGGCGGCUCGAGUGGUGGCCACUUUUAUUGGGCUUAAAGCGUUCGUAGCUGGGUUGUUAAGUCUCUUGGGAAAUCUGGCGGCUUAACCGUCAGGCGUCUAAGGGAUACUGGCAAUCUUGGAACCGGGAGAGGUGAGGGGUACUUCGGGGGUAGGAGUGAAAUCCUGUAAUCCUCGAGGGACCACCUGUGGCGAAGGCGCCUCACCAGAACGGCUUCGACAGUGAGGGACGAAAGCUGGGGGAGCAAACCGGAUUAGAUACCCGGGUAGUCCCAGCCGUAAACUAUGCGCGUUAGGUGUUUCGUGACCACGAGUUACCGAGGUGCCGAAGGGAAACCGUGAAACGUGCCGCCCKGGAA
This 740-nucleotide ribosomal RNA is filed under the name uncultured Methanoculleus sp. Its description in RNAcentral is "bacterial SSU rRNA". It matches the Rfam family "Archaeal small subunit ribosomal RNA", at positions 88 to 834 of the family's 1478-position model. Lineage: Archaea; Methanobacteriati; Methanobacteriota; Methanomicrobia; Methanomicrobiales; Methanomicrobiaceae. The record is from RNAcentral.